UUAUUUUACGCACUCACUCUCUCUCUCUCUCUCAUAACAUUCUUCUGAUCAAUCAAAAUCUUCUUCUUCAAGCUUCCGAUCACUCUGAACAUUCUUCUGCGCAAAUCAAUCAUCACAAUUCGCAACACGCUUCAAUUCAUCUCCCUUAUUAUCAUCACCACUGUUUUCUGCAUUCGAUUUUCGUUCUUUUACCGUUUAAUUCUCUGAAAUUUGAUUAAUCUUUUGUAGGUGAUUUCUUUGAUCAUCUUCAACAAUGGAUUCGGGUUCGUGGAGUUCUUCUUCAAAGACCAAAAUCAGAACGCCUUUCCCAGAACGCUUUCUCCACCGAAAUAAUUCUUCUCAGGAUAACUUGGAUAGGUUCAUACCAAACCGAUCAGCGAUGGAUUUUGAUUACGCUCACUACAUGAUGAUGGAGGGUUGUAGAAAAGGAAAAGAGAAUCCAGCGUUGAUGUCACCAUCUCGUUCAGCCUACCAGAAGCGACUCGCUGAAGCAUGCAACAUGCAUGACAGAACCAGAAUCUUGGCCUUCAAGAACAAGCCUCCAACACCAGUCGAGCUCUUCCCUAAGGAACUUCUGUCCCCUCCACCUCUAUCCAAAUCCGCUAAGCCUAAACGAUGCAUUCCUCAGACUUCUGAGAGGACCUUGGACGCACCUGAUAUCUUAGAUGACUUUUACUUGAAUUUGCUAGACUGGGGUAGCAGCAAUGUUGUCAGUAUUGCCCUUGAAAAUACCGUUUAUCUUUGGAAUGCUUCAGAUUCCUCCACUUCAGAGCUUGUCACUGUAGAUGAUGAUGAUGGUCCUGUCACAAGCGUUAGCUGGGCCCCCGAUGGUCGCCAUUUAGCCAUUGGGUUGAACAACUCCCAUGUCCAGCUCUGGGAUACCACUGCUUGUAAACAGCUAAGGGCAAUGAAGGGUGGACACAGAGCAAGAGUGGGUUCAUUGGCUUGGAACAACCAUAUUCUGACAACAGGAGGAAUGGAUGGUAAAGUUGUAAACAAUGAUGUUAGAGUGAGAUCUCACAUCGUUGAAACAUACAUGGGACACAACCAGGAGGUUUGUGGGCUCAAGUGGUCACCCUCAGGACAACAAUUGGCAAGUGGUGGAAACGAUAAUGUUGUUCACAUAUGGGAUAGAUCCGUGGUUUCUUCAAAUUCACCUACCCGAUGGCUUCACAGGUUUGAGGAACACAUAGCUGCUGUGAAGGCACUGGCUUGGUGUCCCUUUCAGGGUAAUCUACUGGCUUCUGGUGGAGGUGGAGGUGAUCAUUGCAUUAAGCUGUGGAACACACACACUGGUGCGAGAUUGAAUUCUGUUGACACUGGAUCGCAAGUAUGUGCUCUGCUAUGGAACCAGAACGAGCGUGAGCUACUUAGCUCACAUGGUUUCACCGAGAACCAGCUUACCCUUUGGAAGUAUCCUUCUAUGGUGAAAAUGGCAGAUCUCAAUGGUCACACUUCGAGGGUGCUGUAUAUGGCGCAGAGUCCAGAUGGGUGUACAGUGGCAUCUGCGGCUGCAGAUGAAACUCUUAGAUUUUGGAAUGUCUUUGGGAGCCCAGCAGAAGCAUGCAAAGCCGCAGCGCCAAAGACAUAUAAUGAGCCCUUUGCUAAUUUCACCCGUAUUCGUUGAAGAUGAUGACUUGUGUUACUCAUGCAAACCUGAGCCGCAACAUCUUAGUAUUUUUUUUGAGGUUCGCAAGUCGGCUUGUUGUAUGAGUCAAGUGCAUGGAUUUAGAUUCUCUGCUUUUGAAGUCUUCACAUUUAUCUGUCUUUAGGUGAGUAAAACUACGGGGACAACAAGUCAACAAUCCAUCAGCCAUCUAGUGGACUCUUUCACAAAUUUGACAAGUUGAUCCUAUUGGGAAAAGGGAACUUGCUUUACUAGCGGUUAAGCAUGUUCCCACUACGGCAGUUAACUGGCAUCUGAUAUGAGCUGGAGAUUGUCAAAGAAGACAUAUUCUUUUGGUUUAGAAAUCCAAGAAGUCAAUGACAUGAUUCUCUUGAGCCACAAGUUAUCCAUUUUGGAAGAUAUCAAAGAGAUUAGAAUUGAUCAGUUUUCAACAAAUAGCUUAAUGUCAAGGAGUCUUUACGACAAGUUUAAUGUCAAACAAAGGAUGGGGAGUAUAGCAGUCAACCGGGUAUGCACACAAGCUUUCUUUAACUUCACCAUCGCCUUUGUCCGGUCUUCAUCGGUUCUCUUACCUUGGAUGGGAACGCUUGGUUUACAUUGAGGGAUCUAAAAAUUGCAAUAAACGAGUUUUCAAAAGACAGUAUUAUUGGUGAAGGAGAAUAUUUAGAAGCUACUAAAUAAUCAAGGUACUUGCAUGGAAAUAAACUGACUAGCUUCAUCCUUCUGGAGCCUCGGGAAUAGGACAAAGCUCCACUAUCGUGUGUACUCUCAUUCCCUUGUUGCAGUGCUUGGAAAAAAAAUACAGUGUUAGGUCUUCUUCAAUUAUCGUUUGCAGCUAUGGCUACAUGGGAUGCUCAGGUUAAAAUUCUUCUUGGAACAACUAAUUAAAGAGUACGAUCAUUUAGUUCAUGUCCCUGAUUUGUUUUGGUAGAAAUUAAAAACUUUUGUUCUUGAUUCAUGAUUAUAUUGCAUGCUGGUUUUUUCGCUCGAGGAAAUUGAGCCAAAAUGUGUCCAUCAAGAUAUUAAGUCAACUAAUGUUCUAAUUGAUGAUGACAAUGCAAAAAUUUCUGACAUUGAACUAGCCAAGUCUUGGUGCCGGAAAAAGUCACAUUACAACUCGAGUGAUGGGUGCUUUUGAGAGCAAUAAAUCAAUGACCAAUUUUUGUUGUAUUUUUUGCUGCAAAAUGAGAAUUGGAAUAGUUUAUUCUCUUAGAUUAAUUUAAUUUAAUCUAAUCGUUAAUGAUAUGUGGCUCCUGAAAAUGCCAAUUCGAGCUUACUAAACAAGAAUAGUGAUGUUUAUAGCUUUUGGUGUAUUGCUCCGCAGAGCAAUUACUAGAAGAGAUCCUGUGGAUUAUAACCGCUCAGCAGCCGAGGUAAUAGGUACACCAAAGAGGUGGUGGACUCAAACAUUGAGACCAUCAACAAGUUCCUUCCCUUAAAACGAGCUCAUUUGACUGCUUUGAGAUGCGUUGAUCCAAAUUCUGAAAAAAGACCAAAAAUGAAUCAUGUGAUCCAUGCUUGAAUUGGAAAAAUAUAAGAUACCUAGAGAGGACCGAAGACGCAAAAGUAAUUCCAGAAGUGGUAGCACCUCUUCGCAUUAAGCAUCAAGUAUGCUUGUGAGGCCAAACACAUUUCUCCUUGGUCAUUCACAACCCAUUUGAUAAAGGUUGCGAACUUGCAACUACUGCAACGUUUGAUUGCCCAAACUUUUUCAUCCUUGAUUUUUUUUUAGCUGUUAAAUUUCUUAUACGUUUGAAAUAUAUUCUGUCCAAUUUUGUCUA
RNA transcript from Medicago truncatula (barrel medic), 3408 nucleotides. It is a transcript of the gene named cell division cycle 20.2, cofactor of APC complex, with no coding region annotated. The record is from RefSeq and is a predicted model, not a curated record. NCBI's taxonomy places the organism in Eukaryota, Viridiplantae, Streptophyta, Magnoliopsida, Fabales, Fabaceae. The transcript has 14 exons.